UCCCCCCCAAGUGAACACCCCAGUCAGCAACUAGUCCACAGCAAAUCAAUAUCUUAGUCCAUACACACUGAGUGUGCAGGGCACACCAGUCAGUAUUUCAUCUGCAAUCAUUAUCCAGUCCAAUUAUUACUCCAGUAUGAGUAAUACAUACUCGGCAUCCAGUGUGCACCCAGGCCACACCCAGUCAGUAUCGGGACCACACACACUCUUCAGCCAAUCCAUACUCUCUCAUCAUUCAUUAGAUACCCAUUUGGUCAUCGUCUAGUCCAAGUCCAGCCACCAUCCAUCCACAUCCAGUCAGCAUCCAAUGUAUAUCCCUAUGCAGACGGAAUCCAGUCUAUACCCAGUCAGCUUCCAGUCCUUAGCCAAUAUUUUACCCACACCCAAUCACCAUCUAGUCACUAUCCACUAAGUAAUCCAUGCCUCGAGCAACUCUGGGCCACAGUCAGCACCCUCUGCACGUCCAUCAGCACCUGCACCCUCUGUACGUCCAUCAUCACCUGCACCCUCUGCACGUCCCAUCAUCAGCAUCUGCACCCUCUGCACGUCCCAUCAUCAGCACCUGCACCCUCUGCACGUCCCAUCAUCAGCACCUGCACCCUCUGCACGUCCCAUCAUCACCUGCACCCUCUGCACGUCCAUCAUCAGCACCUGCACCCUCUGCACGUCCAUCAGCACCUGCACCCUCUGCACGUCCAUCAUCAGCACCUGCACCCUCUGCACGUCCAUCAUCAGCACCUGCACCCUCUGCACGUCCAUCAUCAGCACCUGCACCCUCUGCACGUCCAUCAUCAACACCUGCACCCUCUGCACGUCCCAUCAGCACCUGCACCAUACCCCAUUUUUAGGACAAGCACACAAACACUGAACCUAUUUACAUGCUACGCCCUGUCAGCAUUCAGCACCCAGUCAGCAUCGAGGUCACGUGGUCACUAUACAAUUCACACCCUCUCAUCAUUCACUGCACACCCAAUCAGCAUCCGAGGCAUACGCCGUCCAUAA
Molecule: long non-coding RNA, 1002 nt
Filed under: Oryctolagus cuniculus (rabbit)
Lineage: Eukaryota; Metazoa; Chordata; Mammalia; Lagomorpha; Leporidae
Description: lncRNA (ENSOCUG00000032188.1)
Source: RNAcentral